This 225-nucleotide long non-coding RNA is filed under the name Medicago truncatula (barrel medic). Its description in RNAcentral is "lncRNA gene37935". Lineage: Eukaryota; Viridiplantae; Streptophyta; Magnoliopsida; Fabales; Fabaceae. The record is from RNAcentral.
GAGCAGUGGAAUUUGUGAAAAUUGGACGCACACCAACACUAUUUAAUUGGUUGGACAUAGUUUAUUCAAUGUGGAUACUUUUUAUAAUUGAUUUUUUUUUUCAAAACUUUUUUUAAGCAUAAGAAAUACUAGAUCACAAGGAUAUAUUGAUACCUUAUCUUAUUUGUAAGUACUUGUGUAUGGACUAUACUAAUACACACCACAUUGAAUUCACCUGAUUUUCCU